GGAAAAAAUAACUCAAAAAACAUAAAUGAAACGACAAAACAAUAAAAAAAAUCAAACAAACAAAUCAUAAACCUAAGGAAAGAUGAAAAAAGAAAGAACGAAAGGGCCUAAAGCUCCUGUUCGUCUUCCCAAAAAUCAUCUAUACCUUCCUUACAUCAGAUCAAAGAGGUAAUCAUUCCCAACUCUUGACAAAAAUGGCAUCAACACAAUUAAAACAAACCCCUAUGUUAAUCACUAAGCUCAUCAGAUUUUAAAGAACCCACAUCACCUCCGGUCACAGUCUUCAACUCCCAAAUCAUUCAUUUUCAACAUCAUCCAAAUCCCGAUUGACAAGCUCUUCCACAACUUCCGAGGCCUCUUCCAUCCAGUAUAUAGGUUGGGCCUAACUCUAACCUUCCUUUGCCAAAGCAUGUGCUGGAACAUUGGCCAACUGAGGACCAUCCUCGUGAAUGCACAAUCCCAAACUAGAUGCGCCACUGAUUCCUUCUCAACUUUGCACAUCGGACAGAGAUCAUCCACCACUAGUCGUUUCUUUCUCAAAUUAUGUAGCGUAGGCAUAAAUUCAUUAGUUAUUUUCCACAUACCAAUACGGAUUUUACUUGGAAGUUUUAAAUUCCACAUUUUUGUAUGGAAGGUUUUUAAUAUUGUAGAUUGCGUUGUAAUAUUCCCCUCUAUCGAAUCUAAACCCUCUGUAAUGAGCCACUUAUAGCCAAUUUUUUACUGUAUAAACUCAAGUAUUGUCACCCCACUAUACCAAUUCAUCCAGUUGGUUGCUAUUAAUCGAAGGAAUCGACAAAAUCCUCUUCACUUGCUCAUCAUCAAACAAGACUUUGAUGACUUCUUUUUUUUUUCCAGGACCUAGCAACCAUGCGUCAUUCCAGAUAUUUAUUGAGGUGUCAUUCCUUACUUUCCAGCCCGUACUACGUUCCAACAAUACUCGGGCAUUCCAGAUACUCUGCCAAGUGUACGAAAGAUUAAAAUCUCGUAGAUACUCGUGAAAAAGGAAAAAUAGCGGAAUAAUCCCUGAACCUCUGAAUGACUACAAUUCAGUCCAGGUGGAUUUUGUUCCAGAUCUUACAGAACACAUACAUAGGACAACUGCAAGAGUACUGCUCCACAUUAAUGGUUAAGAUUAUUAAAUAUCUCUUUUGAUGGAUAACCACGAUUGGUUUCUCUUGUGGAAGCCAAAAAACAACCAAAAGAGUGCAUAUGAACAAAAGCUAAAAUCUCUUCUGACGGAUCAUAGACUUUCAUGGAAAAGACAAACCAUAAUCUUACUUCUAUGAAUCAUAGUGGAUACGACUUCGGGUACUUGUUUAAGCUUUUGACUUGUAGGAGUUUGCCUGAUAGUCAAGCUGGGUUUUUCGAUUUGAUCAAGAUAUAUUUCCCCAUGGUAUACGAUAUCAAGCACAAGAUGAAGUUUUGCAACAACCUUCAUGGUGGUUUGAACAAGCUUACCAAGUUGUUGGAAGUGGAAAGAGUCGAUGUGUGCCAUCAAGCUGGUUCCGAUAGUUUGCUCACCUCGUGCACCUUUAGGAAGUUGAGAGAUAACUUUUUCAACGGCUCCACAAAGAAAUAUGCAGGUGUAUUGUAUGGCCUAGGUGUCCAGAAUGGAUAGAAUACUAAUUAGAAGAAAAUUAUUGGAAAAAAAUGUUGAUGGAUGACUACUUAGAGUUUUUGCCUGAAUUUUCUUUGUAUACAUUGUCAAAAAAAAAAAGAGAGAAGAUAUUGUUGAUUUAGCUGUGACUUUUCUCUUUUUUCUUGCAUUGUAACUGAAACCUUAACUGGUUUUUCCAGUUGAAGUCCAGUGUAAAUUAUGCAGUUAGUGUUUCUAUCUUUUUCAAUAAUAAUCAUAAUCAUUUGCAUCUUA
RNA transcript from Gossypium arboreum, 1870 nucleotides. It is a transcript of the gene named probable CCR4-associated factor 1 homolog 7, with no coding region annotated. Lineage: Eukaryota; Viridiplantae; Streptophyta; Magnoliopsida; Malvales; Malvaceae. The record is from RefSeq and is a predicted model, not a curated record. The transcript has 5 exons.